Molecule: long non-coding RNA, 898 nt
Filed under: Salmo salar (Atlantic salmon)
Lineage: Eukaryota; Metazoa; Chordata; Actinopteri; Salmoniformes; Salmonidae
Description: lncRNA (ENSSSAG00000049654.2)
Source: RNAcentral
CCUGGAUUCACCUGGUCAGUCUAUGUCAUGGAAAGAGCAGGUGGUCCUAAUGUUUUGUACACACAGUGUACAAAUCAAAUUCAAACCUGAUUAUAUCUGUUGGGAAAAUGUCACACUCCUCAAGAUAGUCAAUGUAAGGUUUCCAGAUUAUAUCAAACUUUAUUUUUUUUUGCUUAAUUUGAUAAAACACAGAAUAUAUUGGAAUGUAACUAUGCAGUUCAGCCCUCCAGUUCGUCAUUGACGCCACCAAAAUAAAGGCUGAACAGAGGAAGACAGGAGGGGGGGCCUCCACCUCCAGGGUUCACCCCAGCUGAGGAGUUGGUCCUGGACCACAGUAGAGGCUCAAAAACGGCUCCCAAGUGGCGCAGCAUCUCAGUGCUUGAGGCGUCACUACAGGCCCUGGUUCGAUUCCAGGCUGUAUCACAACCGGCCGUGAUUGGGAGUCCUAUUCGGCGCACAAUUGGCCCAGCGUCAUUAGGGUUUGGCUGGGUCACUGGCCACUCAAUAACUAUUCUGGAGGGGUCAUCGACUGAAUACAUUGCGGUACAACAGCAGAACCGUUUUAUGUUGGAGGACGAGCAUUAUGAUGAGGAGACCAUCUCGGCGUCUUCCGAGAGGCCUUUUGAGAUGUGCAACUCUGCUGGACUUUACACUGCUGGACCCCCUAACUCUACUGGACCUUGCACUGCUGGACCCCCUAACUUUGCUUUGUAUAGCAAUCAAAGUGAAACCGUGUAGGGUUACUUUUGCUAAAUAUGGGUUGAGAAAAUUGACCAGAUACAUGAUUGAUUGUGCGGAAAAACGAUAACGUUCAAAAAUAAAUUCUUUUGAAUGAUCUAAAGGAUGUAUUCGAGGUCCAAUAAUUUGUACCCUUUGUAAAGCACGAUGAACAAUGCAG